GCUGGCGGCGUGCCUAAUACAUGCAAGUCGAACGAACUCUGGUAUUGAUUGGUGCUUGCAUCAUGAUUUACAUUUGAGUGAGUGGCGAACUGGUGAGUAACACGUGGGAAACCUGCCCAGAAGCGGGGGAUAACACCUGGAAACAGAUGCUAAUACCGCAUAACAACUUGGACCGCAUGGUCCGAGUUUGAAAGAUGGCUUCGGCUAUCACUUUUGGAUGGUCCCGCGGCGUAUUAGCUAGAUGGUGGGGUAACGGCUCACCAUGGCAAUGAUACGUAGCCGACCUGAGAGGGUAAUCGGCCACAUUGGGACUGAGACACGGCCCAAACUCCUACGGGAGGCAGCAGUAGGGAAUCUUCCACAAUGGACGAAAGUCUGAUGGAGCAACGCCGCGUGAGUGAAGAAGGGUUUCGGCUCGUAAAACUCUGUUGUUAAAGAAGAACAUAUCUGAGAGUAACUGUUCAGGUAUUGACGGUAUUUAACCAGAAAGCCACGGCUAACUACGUGCCAGCAGCCGCGGUAAUACGUAGGUGGCAAGCGUUGUCCGGAUUUAUUGGGCGUAAAGCGAGCGCAGGCGGUUUUUUAAGUCUGAUGUGAAAGCCUUCGGCUCAACCGAAGAAGUGCAUCGGAAACUGGGAAACUUGAGUGCAGAAGAGGACAGUGGAACUCCAUGU
Molecule: ribosomal RNA, 674 nt
Filed under: Lactiplantibacillus plantarum
Lineage: Bacteria; Bacillati; Bacillota; Bacilli; Lactobacillales; Lactobacillaceae
Description: bacterial SSU rRNA
Rfam family: Bacterial small subunit ribosomal RNA
Source: RNAcentral